GCUCCCCUGGCGUAAUGGUAACGCGUUGGACUUCUAAUCCGAAGACUGCGGGUUCGAGCCCCGCGGGGAGUG
Molecule: transfer RNA, 72 nt
Filed under: Puccinia triticina 1-1 BBBD Race 1
Lineage: Eukaryota; Fungi; Basidiomycota; Pucciniomycetes; Pucciniales; Pucciniaceae
Description: tRNA-Arg (TCT) (tRNA-Arg-TCT-2-1)
Rfam family: tRNA
About the family: Transfer RNA (tRNA) molecules are approximately 80 nucleotides in length. Their secondary structure includes four short double-helical elements and three loops (D, anti-codon, and T loops). Further hydrogen bonds mediate the characteristic L-shaped molecular structure. tRNAs have two regions of fundamental functional importance: the anti-codon, which is responsible for specific mRNA codon recognition, and the 3' end, to which the tRNAs corresponding amino acid is attached (by aminoacyl-tRNA synthetases). tRNAs cope with the degeneracy of the genetic code in two manners: having more than one tRNA (with a specific anti-codon) for a particular amino acid; and 'wobble' base-pairing, i.e. permitting non-standard base-pairing at the 3rd anti-codon position.
Source: RNAcentral